GAUGAACGCUAGCGAUAGGCCUAACACAUGCAAGUCGAGGGGCAUCACAUGAAGUAGCAAUACGGAUGGUGGCGACCGGCGCACGGGUGAGUAACACGUAUGCAACCUGCCUUCAACAAGGGAAUAACCCGUUGAAAGACGGACUAAUACCCUAUAACACAGGGGUCCCGCAUGGGGAUAUUUGUUAAAGGACAACCGGUUGAAGAUGGGCAUGCGUUCCAUUAGCUAGUUGGCGGGGUAAGGGCCCACCAAGGCAACGAUGGAUAGGGGAACUGAGAGGUUUAUCCCCCACACUGGUACUGAGACACGGACCAGACUCCUACGGGAGGCAGCAGUGAGGAAUAUUGGUCAAUGGACGCAAGUCUGAACCAGCCACGUCGCGUGAAGGAAGACGGCCCUACGGGUUGUAAACUUCUUUUGCAAGGGAAUAAAGUGGGCCACGUGUGGCCUUUUGCAAGUACCUUGCGAAUAAGGAUCGGCUAACUCCGUG
This 490-nucleotide ribosomal RNA is filed under the name uncultured bacterium. RNAcentral's name for it is "bacterial SSU rRNA". It matches the Rfam family "Bacterial small subunit ribosomal RNA", at positions 28 to 507 of the family's 1533-position model. The record is from RNAcentral.